RNAcentral lists this ribosomal RNA (480 nucleotides) under uncultured organism. RNAcentral's name for it is "bacterial SSU rRNA". It matches the Rfam family "Bacterial small subunit ribosomal RNA", at positions 978 to 1466 of the family's 1533-position model. The record is from RNAcentral.
GGCUCGAAUGGUUAGUGCAACUGUGAGAAAUCACGGUUCCUUCGGGACGCUAAUCAAGGUGCUGCAUGGUUGUCGUCAGCUCGUGCCGUGAGGUGUUGGGUUAAGUCCCGCAACGAGCGCAACCCCUGGGUUUAGUUACCAGCACGUAGAGGUGGGGACUCUAGACCGACUGCCGGCGUAAGCCGCGAGGAAGGUGGGGAUGACGUCAAAUCAUCAUGGCCUUUAUGUCCAGGGCUACACACGUGCUACAAUGGUCAGUACAGAGGGUAGCGAAGCCGCGAGGUGGAGCCAAUCUUUAAAAGCUGAUCGUAGUUCGGAUUGGAGUCUGCAACUCGACUCCAUGAAGUUGGAAUCGCUAGUAAUCGCGCAUCAGCCAUGGCGCGGUGAAUACGUUCCCGGACNUUGUACACACCGCCCGUCAAGCCAUGGGAGCUGAGGGUACCUGAAGAUGGUGACUUUACGGGAGCUAUCUAAGGUAAA